UCUCUCUCUCUCUUUCCUUUCCCUCUUCUUUCUCUCCUCUCGCCCCACUGACUCAUCUCUCUCUUUUUUUUUCUUAUUUUCACUUCCCAACUCGUCCCACUCGUCCCUUCACCUCGUUCUUCCCAUUAGCCCCCUCUGCUUUGUUUUCCUGUUUGCCCCUUACUUCCUAUUCACCUCUGUACCCCAUUUGCCCCAUCUUCCCAGUCGCCCUGUCCUUCUAUUCACCCCUCUGCGCCCCUUCUUUCCAUCCGGCCUUACUUCCUACUUGCUCUUUUCCUCUCUUCUCAUUCCUUCGUCACUUUCCAUUCCUCUGCUCAUUCUUCCCAAACACCUGUUCAUCACAUUCCCUGCCCUCUUCCUGUUUGGCCCCUCUUCCUAUUUCCUUAAUCCCUUCCUGAUUAUCCCGCGCUUCCCAUUCUUCCUCUUCGUAUUCACCUCUUCGUGCCUCAUCCUAUUUUCCUCCGUCUCCGGUUCGACCCCCUCUACCCAUUCACAUUCCCUCUUUCCUGCCUCAUCCCUCUCUUCCCCGGGAGCAUGGAGGGUUUGGGAGUAAACGCAGCACUACAUUCAGCUCUGUCAGCCAAUCCGAGAUAUCGGUUGGGUGCAGACGCUAAAGCAACACCUGUGGCGCUGCGCUCUACCUGACCCAAGUGAAUCAGAGUCUGCAGUUGGACGAGUCAGCGAUUUUUAUUCCUCUGGGACUUCUGGAGGAGAGCAGGAGCCACAGGAACCUCGCAGCAAGGCUGUAGUGCGCUUCGCCCCUGAUGUUAAAUACUGAGAGAGAGAGAGAGAGAGAGAGAGAGAGAGACAGACAGACAGACAGACGGUCAGACAGACAGACAGAAAGAGACAUGUAAUGUUCACUACUUAGCAAUGUUUAGGUUUUAUGGCAAUACAUCUAGAAUAUUUAUUUUUAAAAGCUGUUUGAUUUCUGUUGAUCAGCAUCAACAAUCUGGAUGGAAACACACACACACACACACACACACACACUCACACACACUCACCUUUACACUCAGCUGAUUCUGCUCUCUGUAACAGAAAUAAGGCGAGAAAUGAAGCACAUAUUGGAAUAUUACAGUACUGUAUGUAUAUAUAAUGUAUGUAGUAUAUAAUAAUUAUGAAACGCACUCCAGAGCUUCCUUAUAAUAAAGUCAUGAUGAUUAUUUUCUGCAUAGACUGUUUGCAAAGUUUGAAAUGGUGCUAAGAGUUUGCUUUCGGUUCACACUGUCCACGCUUGAGAAUAAUGCUGUCAAUAUCACAGAGAGAGAGAGAGAGAGAGAGAGAGAGAGAGAGAGAGAGAGAGAGAGAGAGAGCAUCAACACCAUGAAGUGCUUCCUUAACGUACAUGUACAUCAUCACUGUAUAAAAAGUCAUCGUGUGAAUAAAAACGCAC
This is a long non-coding RNA of Ictalurus punctatus (channel catfish), 1393 nucleotides long. Lineage: Eukaryota; Metazoa; Chordata; Actinopteri; Siluriformes; Ictaluridae. The record is from Ensembl.